This 482-nucleotide ribosomal RNA is filed under the name uncultured bacterium. Its description in RNAcentral is "SSU rRNA". It matches the Rfam family "Bacterial small subunit ribosomal RNA", at positions 26 to 517 of the family's 1533-position model. The record is from RNAcentral.
AGGACGAACGCUGGCGGCGUGCCUAACACAUGCAAGUCGAACGAGGCUUAUCCGGUAGCAAUACCGGAGACUGCCUAGUGGCGAACGGGUGAGUAGCACGUGAGCAACCUGCCCCGAAGACUGGGAUAACACCGGGAAACCGGUGCUAAUACCAGAUGCCCCCACCGGAUCGCAUGAUCUGGUGAGGAAAUGGAUUCCGCUUCGGGAGGGGCUCGCGGCCUAUCAGCUAGUUGGUGAGGUAACGGCUCACCAAGGCUUCGACGGGUAGCUGGUCUGAGAGGACGAUCAGCCACACUGGGACUGAGACACGGCCCAGACUCCUACGGGAGGCAGCAGUGGGGAAUCUUGCACAAUGGGCGAAAGCCUGAUGCAGCAACGCCGCGUGAGGGACGAAGGCUUUCUGAGUUGUAAACCUCUUUCAGCAGGGACGAGUUGUGACGGUACCUGCAGAAGAACGCCCGGCAACUACGUGCCAGCAGCCG